UGAAGUCAGGAUUCAAAUCCAUCUGUCUCAAAGGAAAAUAGCCCUUUGGCCAGGAGCACAAACCCUCCUGUGUGCUCCCCUCAUCAGGAGAUUUGGAAUCUAAGAGCCUUUCUAAGUGAUGCUGGCAGAAGAAACAAACCUAAACCACACCCUGAGCAAAACAUCUAAAUUCGUGACACGAUUUAAGUGCUACGCAACCGAUGACAGUCUCUCUCCCUGGGCAAGAACGCAGCAAACCAAUAACACACAUGCCUACACAGAGGAUAACCUGCGCACACCUUCCUCGCUGAGAGCAUGUUUCAGAAGGUCGUCAUUUGUAGAGACGAAGAUGACACAAAGAUAUACGUAUUCCAGAGUCAGACAAUUAAUACAGGUUGAUUAUCGUGGACAUUGCUUCCAUAAACACUGGGCUGCACAUGCCCCUUCGGAUCACUACAUUUGGGAUGCCUAUAAUUAGGUGCAUGCUGAC
This is a long non-coding RNA of Nyctereutes procyonoides (raccoon dog), 469 nucleotides long. RefSeq lists it as uncharacterized. The transcript has 3 exons. The record is from RefSeq and is a predicted model, not a curated record. NCBI's taxonomy places the organism in Eukaryota, Metazoa, Chordata, Mammalia, Carnivora, Canidae.